AUACGGAGGAUCCAAGCGUUAUCCGGAUUUAUUGGGUUUAAAGGGUGCGUAGGCGGACUGGUAAGUCAGCUGUGAAAGUUUGCGGCUUAACCGUAAAAUUGCAGUUGAUACUGUCAGUCUUGAGUGUGCAUGAGGUGGGCGGAAUUUGUGGUGUAGCGGUGAAAUGCUUAGAUAUCACGAGGAACUCCAAUUGCGAAGGCAGCUCACUGGGGCAUAACUGACGCUGAUGCACGAAGGUGUGGGUAUCAAACAGGAUUAGAUACCCUGGUAGUCCACACAGUAAACUAUGAAUACUCACUGUUUGCGAUAUACAGUAAGCGGCCAAGCGAAAGCAUUAAGUAUUCCACCUGGGGAGUACGCCGGCAACGGUGAAACUUAAAGGAAUUGACGGGG
This 393-nucleotide ribosomal RNA is filed under the name uncultured bacterium. Its description in RNAcentral is "partial 16S ribosomal RNA". It matches the Rfam family "Bacterial small subunit ribosomal RNA", at positions 523 to 918 of the family's 1533-position model. The record is from RNAcentral.